Molecule: ribosomal RNA, 254 nt
Filed under: uncultured bacterium
Lineage: Bacteria
Description: partial 16S ribosomal RNA
Rfam family: Bacterial small subunit ribosomal RNA
Source: RNAcentral
CACGUAGGGGGCAAGCGUUGUCCGGAUUUAUUGGGCGUAAAGAGCUCGUAGGUGGCUUAGUAAGUCGGGUGUGAAACCUCCAGGCUCAACCUGGAGACGCCACCCGAUACUGCUAUAGCUUGAGUCCGGUAGGGGAGCGUGGAAUUCCUGGUGUAGCGGUGAAAUGCGCAGAUAUCAGGAAGAACACCAAUGGCGAAAGCAGCUUUCUGGGACGGUACUGACGCUGAGACGCGAAAGCGUGGGGAGCGAACAGG